GAUGAACGCUGGCGGCGUGCCUAACACAUGCAAGUCGAGCGAAGCGCCUUACUUGAUUUCUUCGGGAUGAAAGUAUUGUGACUGAGCGGGCGCGGGUGAGGACGUGAGAGUAACUGCUCAUACAGGGAUAACAGUUAGAAAUGACUGCUAAUACCGCAUAAGACCACAGCGACCGCAUGGUGCAGGGGUAAAACUCGGUGGUAUGAGAUGGAUCCGCGUCUGAGUUAGCUAGUUGGUAAGGUAACGGCUUACCAAGGCGAACGAUCAGUAGCCGACCUGGAGUAGGGUGACCGGCACAGUCGGGACUGACGACGACGGACCCAA
RNAcentral lists this ribosomal RNA (324 nucleotides) under uncultured bacterium. Its description in RNAcentral is "bacterial SSU rRNA". It matches the Rfam family "Bacterial small subunit ribosomal RNA", at positions 28 to 335 of the family's 1533-position model. The record is from RNAcentral.